UAGGGAAUAUUGCACAAUGGGCGAAAGCCUGAUGCAGCAACGCCGCGUGUGUGAUGAAGGCCUUCGGGUCGUAAAGCACUUUUCUGGGAGAUGAGAAAGGACAGUAUCCCAGGAAUAAGUCUCGGCUAACUACGUGCCAGCAGCCGCGGUAAAACGUAGGAGGCGAGCGUUAUCCGGAUUCACUGGGCGUAAAGCGCGUGCAGGUGGCGCGGUAAGUUGGGCGUGAAAGCUCCCGGCUCAACUGGGAGAGGUCGUCCAAUACUACCGUGCUUGAGAGCAGAAGAGGAAGAUGGAAUUCCCGGUGUAGUGGUGAAAUGCGUAGAUAUCGGGAGGAACGCCAGUGGCGAAGGCGAUCUUCUGGUCUGUUCUGACACUCAGACGCGACAGCUAGGGUAGUAAACGGGAUUAGAGACCCCGGUAAUCCUAGCCGUAAACGAUGUGAACUUGGCGUUGGUGGGUUAAACUCCAUCAGUGCCGCAGCAAACGCGUAA
RNAcentral lists this ribosomal RNA (491 nucleotides) under uncultured Chloroflexota bacterium. RNAcentral's name for it is "bacterial SSU rRNA". It matches the Rfam family "Bacterial small subunit ribosomal RNA", at positions 355 to 862 of the family's 1533-position model. The record is from RNAcentral. Lineage: Bacteria; Bacillati; Chloroflexota.